UACGUAGGGUGCAAGCGUUGUUCGGAAUCAUUGGGCGUAAAGCGCGUGUAGGUGGUUAUUUAAGUCGAGUGUGAAAUCCCUGGGCUCAACCGAGGAAGUGCAUUCGAAACUGAAUAGCUAGAAGAUGGUAGAGGAAGGUGGAAUUCCUAGUGUAGAGGUGAAAUUCGUAGAUAUUAGGAGGAAUACCGGUGGCGAAGGCGGCCUUCUGGGCCAUUCUUGACACUGAGACGCGAAAGCGUGGGGAGCAAACAGG
RNAcentral lists this ribosomal RNA (253 nucleotides) under uncultured bacterium. RNAcentral describes it as "partial 16S ribosomal RNA". It matches the Rfam family "Bacterial small subunit ribosomal RNA", at positions 524 to 776 of the family's 1533-position model. The record is from RNAcentral.